AGUGAACGCUGGCGGCAGGCCUAAUACAUGCAAGUCGAACGGCAGCACAGCAGAGCUUGCUCUGUGGGUGGCGAGUGGCGGACGGGUGAGGAAUACGUGGGAAUCUGCCCAGUCGUGGGGGAUAACGUAGGGAAACUUACGCUAAUACCGCAUGCGCCCUUCGGGGGAAAGCCGGGGACCUUCGGGCCUGGCGCGAUUGGAUGAGCCCACGUCGGAUUAGCUAGUUGGCGGGGUAAAGGCCCACCAAGGCGACGAUCCGUAGCUGGUCUGAGAGGAUGAUCAGCCACACUGGAACUGAGACACGGUCCAGACUCCUACGGGAGGCAGCAGUAGGGAAUAUUGGACAAUGGGCGCAAGCCUGAUCCAGCCAUGCCGCGUGAGUGAAGAAGGCCCUCGGGUUGUAAAGCUCUUUGGUCCGGAAAGAAAGCGCCGGGUUAAUACCCUGGUGUCCUGACGGUACCGGAAGAAUAAGCACCGGCUAACUUCGUGCCAGCAGCCGCGGU
This 503-nucleotide ribosomal RNA is filed under the name uncultured bacterium. RNAcentral's name for it is "bacterial SSU rRNA". It matches the Rfam family "Bacterial small subunit ribosomal RNA", at positions 30 to 521 of the family's 1533-position model. The record is from RNAcentral.